CUCCCGCCGGACCUGACUGCUAUCGGAUUAAUACUAAGCCAUGCGAGUCUUUGUAGUAAUACAAGGCAUACGGCUCAGUAACACGUGGUCAACUUACCCUAUGGACGAGGAUAAUCUCGGGAAACUGAGGAUAAUACUCGAUAGAUCAUAAUGCCUGGAAUGGUUUAUGGUUGAAAUGAUUCGUCGCCAUAGGAUGGGACUGCGGCCUAUCAGCUUGUUGGUGAGGUAAUGGCCCACCAAGGCGAUUACAGGUACGGGCUCUGAGAGGAGAAGCCCGGAGAUGGGUACUGAGACAAGGACCCAGGCCCUAUGGGGCGCAGCAGGCGAGAAAACUUUGCAAUGUGCGAAAGCACGACAAGGUUAGUCCGAGUGAUUUCUGCUAAAGAGAUCUUUUGCAAGUCAUAAAACCACUAGUGAAUAAGGGGUGGGCAAGUUCUGGUGUCAGCC
Molecule: ribosomal RNA, 447 nt
Filed under: uncultured archaeon
Lineage: Archaea
Description: bacterial SSU rRNA
Rfam family: Archaeal small subunit ribosomal RNA
Source: RNAcentral